This 440-nucleotide ribosomal RNA is filed under the name uncultured bacterium. Its description in RNAcentral is "partial 16S ribosomal RNA". It matches the Rfam family "Bacterial small subunit ribosomal RNA", at positions 338 to 795 of the family's 1533-position model. The record is from RNAcentral.
CCUACGGGAGGCAGCAGUGGGGAAUAUUGCACAAUGGGGGAAACCCUGAUGCAGCAACGCCGCGUGAGUGAAGCAGUCAUUCGUGAUGUAAAGCUCUAUCAGCAGGGAAGAAAAUGACGGUACCUGACUAAGAAGCCCCGGCUAACUACGUGCCAGCAGCCGCGGUAAUACGUAGGGGGCAAGCGUUAUCCGGAUUUACUGGGUGUAAAGGGAGCGUAGACGGCGACGCAAGUCUGAAGUGAAAUGCCAGUGCUCAACCGCGGAACUGCAUUUGAAACUGUUUUUCUUGAGUACCGGAGAGGUCAUCGGAAUUCCUUGUGUAGCGGUGAAAUGCGUAGAUAUAAGGAAGAACACCAGUGGCGAAGGCGGAUGACUGGACGGCAACUGACGGUGAGGCGCGAAAGCGUGGGGAGCAAACAGGAUUAGAUACCCUUGUAGUC